Long non-coding RNA from Pantherophis guttatus, 142 nucleotides. RefSeq lists it as uncharacterized. NCBI's taxonomy places the organism in Eukaryota, Metazoa, Chordata, Lepidosauria, Squamata, Colubridae. The record is from RefSeq and is a predicted model, not a curated record.
CAACUAGUAAAAUAAAUGAAUUUGUGAGAGAUGCUAUGUUGUUAGUGAUCAUCAUGCACACAAAGACAUCUAAGAAGAAAUGUCACUCAAUUUGAUACACCUGGGAAAAGACAAUUAAACUAGAUUGGGGACAUUCCUGAGA